This is a long non-coding RNA of Salvelinus fontinalis (brook trout), 1693 nucleotides long. RefSeq lists it as uncharacterized. The transcript is spliced from 3 exons. The record is from RefSeq and is a predicted model, not a curated record. NCBI's taxonomy places the organism in Eukaryota, Metazoa, Chordata, Actinopteri, Salmoniformes, Salmonidae.
AAAGAGUCAGCUGCAAUCUCAGAAGACAAUCCAGGAGAGAGAAGGAGAUGCAGGAGCGGAGACAGACUGUGGACUCUCUGAAGGUGAGUGUUGGACAUUUACUGUAUACCAUACAAACUUUGGGUUAAUUAGCCAAUUUUCUUAUCAGGACACACUUGCAGUAUUAUCUCAAAUGGGUUCUGGAUUCAAUCUGUACUGCCGAAGUAUCGUAGAAGAUCCAUGUUAUAGCUAGAUUUCAAUUGAAAGGCAAUGUUCCUCCGUUCGCGGAGACUGCAUUCACAGUAAAUGCCGCAUAUGUCGGAAAUUACAUUUAAAACGUAAUGCCUAUCUGGAUGUAAUCCAGCCCUUGAUUUGGGUGCAGACAACAUGGUAAACAAAGUCACAUUUAAACUUUUUUGACAUCACAUACACAAAAUACAUAUUGAAUACACAGAUACUGCUCAACAGAGACAAAAAGAGCGCUACGUUGGGGAACAGGCUGUCACGAGUCCAGUACUAGCUGGUUGAAAAUGAUCCCCUCGUCUCUCUGUGAGUUAACAGUGCUCUGUACAGGCAGAAGUUAGUAAGUACGAGACAGUCUUUACUGAACUGAUUGGGUCCAUUGAUAGAAUACUCACUGAGGUGAAAAUGUUGAUUAGAAGCCAGGAGAAGACUGCAGUGAGACGGGCUGAAGGACUCCUGGAGCAACUGAAGCAGGGGAUAGCUGAGCUGAGGAAGAGAAGCACUGAGCUAGAGCAGCUCUCACACACAGAGGAUCACAUCCAUCUCCUCCAGGGUGUUAAAUCUCUCUAUGACCCUCAUGAGCCUGUGUCCUCUCCCAUUCUGCCUGCCAUCUCACACCUCUCCUUUAGACAGCAUGACGUUUUCUCCUCAUGAGCCUGUGUCCUCUCCCAUCCUGUCUGCCAUCUCACACCUCUCCUUUAGACAGCAUGACGUUUUCUCCUCCUGAGCCUGUGUCCUCUCCCAUCCUGCCUGCCAACUCACACCUCUCCUUUAGACAGCAUGAUGUUCUCUCCUCCUGAGCCUGUGUCCUCUCCCAUCCUGCCUGCCAACUCACACCUCUCCUUUAGACAGCAUGAUGUUCUCUCCUCCUGAGCCUGUGUCCUCUCCCAUCCUGCCUGCCAACUCACACCUCUCCUUAGUCAGCAUGAUGUUCUCUCCUCCUGAGCCUGUGUCCUCUCCCAUCCUGCCUGCCAACUCACACCUCUCCUUUAGACAGCAUGAUGUUCUCUCCUCCUGAGCCUGUGUCCUCUCCCAUCCUGCCUGCCAACUCACACCUCUCCUUUAGACAGCAUGACGUUUUCUCCUCCUGAACUGAAAGAUCAACUGGAGAACACGUCGAAGGAGAUAUGAAUGACGUCUAAAAAUGACGUCCUCCAGCUGACGUUGGAUCUGAACACAGCUGAUCCAGAACUCAGCCUGUCUGAGGGAAACAGGAUGGUGACAGGCACUGAUAAAGCUCAGCCCUCUCCUGACCAGAGAGAUGUUCCUACUGGAGACAGGUGCUGUGUAGAGAGGGCCUGUCUGGAGUCUGCUACUGGGAGGUAGAGCGGAGCAGUGGAUGGCUUGAAAUAGAUCACAGGAGAAUAUUUAAAUCAAUGUACAUGUAUCAAUCCAAACAACUCACUUUUCUGGAUCAAUUACUGAAUCAAUGUGAUCUUUCAAAAUAAAAGUCAUCGUCAUGACAUUGGAA